UCGCGGAAAUUCGACAGUUGACCGGGUCUGUGAAAUUCCGGCCCGACAGACCCGUUACCGGAAAAGUCUCCGAAUUGGAUCGAGGUUUUGGCUACCCCACCAUUGUCAGGCAUCCCGAGCGCGUUCCCGAAGUCGGAAUCGGCAAAGGUGAGCCGGGACAGCCUUCUUCCUCCGCCCAGCCGCCACAGUAAUUUGUCGUCAAGUUUGCCACAGGAGGAUAUUUUGUUCUGGGUUAACCUGCUUUUAUACUUCGCAGGUUGUUUAUCGAUAUUUGUGUAAUUUUAUUUACUCCUAGAAUUUUCGCAUGUGUUAGCAGUAAUUAUUUGAAUUUGGUCUGUAAUAUUAUAUUCAUGUUGGACCUGUAAACUUAAUAUUUUAAGUCUGUUUGAUGGAUUGGAUGAGGGAGCUGAGCUCCCAUUUAUUAUUA
Molecule: long non-coding RNA, 427 nt
Organism: Hevea brasiliensis (rubber tree)
Lineage: Eukaryota; Viridiplantae; Streptophyta; Magnoliopsida; Malpighiales; Euphorbiaceae
Exons: 3
Source: RefSeq, a predicted model, not a curated record